RNAcentral lists this transfer RNA (65 nucleotides) under Dipodomys ordii (Ord's kangaroo rat). It matches the Rfam family "tRNA". Rfam says of the family: Transfer RNA (tRNA) molecules are approximately 80 nucleotides in length. Their secondary structure includes four short double-helical elements and three loops (D, anti-codon, and T loops). The record is from Rfam by way of RNAcentral. Lineage: Eukaryota; Metazoa; Chordata; Mammalia; Rodentia; Heteromyidae.
GGUGGCUCAGUGGUAGAGUGCUUGCCUUGCAUGCAUGAGGCCCUGGGUCCGAGUCCUCAGCACCA